GAUGAACGCUAGCGGGAGGCCUAAUACAUGCAAGUCGAGCGGUAGAGUGACUUCGGUUGCUUGAGAGCGGCGCACGGGUGAGUAACGCGUACAUGACCUACCUUUAAGACUGGGAUAGCCCUGGGAAACUGGGAUUAAUACCGGAUGUGAUAAUACGUAUAGAGAUGUAUUAUUAAAGUUGAGGCGCUUAGAGAUGGAUGUGCGUCUGAUUAGCUAGUUGGUAGGGUAACGGCCUACCAAGGCUACGAUCAGUAGGGGGCGUGAGAGCGUGGCCCCCCANACGGGUACUGAGACACGGACCCGACUCCUACGGGAGGCAGCAGUAAGGAAUAUUGGUCAAUGGACGGAAGUCUGAACCAGCCAUCCCGCGUGCAGGAUGACUGCCCUAUGGGUUGUAAACUGCUUUUAGCAGAGACGAAACGCCUUCAUUUAUGGGGGUCUGACGGUAUCUGCAGAAUAAGCACCGGCUAACUCCGUGCCAGCAGCCGCGGUAAAGUACAG
Molecule: ribosomal RNA, 501 nt
Filed under: uncultured bacterium
Lineage: Bacteria
Description: bacterial SSU rRNA
Rfam family: Bacterial small subunit ribosomal RNA
Source: RNAcentral